RNAcentral lists this antisense RNA (75 nucleotides) under Streptomyces bingchenggensis BCW-1. RNAcentral describes it as "ASpks TB sRNA". It matches the Rfam family "ASpks TB sRNA". Lineage: Bacteria; Bacillati; Actinomycetota; Actinomycetes; Kitasatosporales; Streptomycetaceae. The record is from Rfam by way of RNAcentral.
CUUGACGGAUCCGAGCCACAGCGGACGGUCCGCAGGGCGUUCCUGGCCGUAGGUGGCCAGGAGCGCCUGAGCCUC